This 291-nucleotide long non-coding RNA is filed under the name Monodelphis domestica (gray short-tailed opossum). RNAcentral's name for it is "lncRNA (ENSMODG00000030339.2)". Lineage: Eukaryota; Metazoa; Chordata; Mammalia; Didelphimorphia; Didelphidae. The record is from RNAcentral.
CACCCCUACUUAAGGAUUAAGUAUUGAGGAGGAUGGCCUAUGACAGACAUGUACUAGCAAAUGACAAAUCAGAAACAACUGACAGACCCCUGGGCUGUCCUAAGUCAAGCUUAAGCUACCAUUGGUACAUGUGAGAUGCAGGAAAGUGAUGUAAAAAACAGUCUAUAUAUUUCAAGUCACUUCCUCUCUCCAGCCUCUUUUCGCCGGAGAGGUGGUUCUGGCGGCAGCGUGCUGAGUGUCUUGGCAUCUUGGUGUGGCAGAAGCUAUUAUCCGGGUUUGGUGGAAUUUUAG